RNAcentral lists this transfer RNA (67 nucleotides) under Aconurella montana. RNAcentral's name for it is "tRNA-Ser". It matches the Rfam family "tRNA". Rfam says of the family: Transfer RNA (tRNA) molecules are approximately 80 nucleotides in length. Their secondary structure includes four short double-helical elements and three loops (D, anti-codon, and T loops). Further hydrogen bonds mediate the characteristic L-shaped molecular structure. tRNAs have two regions of fundamental functional importance: the anti-codon, which is responsible for specific mRNA codon recognition, and the 3' end, to which the tRNAs corresponding amino acid is attached (by aminoacyl-tRNA synthetases). tRNAs cope with the degeneracy of the genetic code in two manners: having more than one tRNA (with a specific anti-codon) for a particular amino acid; and 'wobble' base-pairing, i.e. permitting non-standard base-pairing at the 3rd anti-codon position. The record is from RNAcentral. Lineage: Eukaryota; Metazoa; Arthropoda; Insecta; Hemiptera; Cicadellidae.
AGUUAAUUAGCUUAUAUUUUAAAGCAUAUACUUUGAAAGUAUAAGAAAGAUUUAAAUUUAUUGACUU